RNAcentral lists this ribosomal RNA (514 nucleotides) under uncultured bacterium. RNAcentral describes it as "bacterial SSU rRNA". It matches the Rfam family "Bacterial small subunit ribosomal RNA", at positions 32 to 518 of the family's 1533-position model. The record is from RNAcentral.
AACGCUGGCGGCGUGCCUAAUACAUGCAAGUCGAACGGCUUUUCUAUGGAAGCUUGCUUCCACUGAGAAGAUAGUGGCGAACGGGUGAGUAACACGUGGGUAACCUGCCCAUAAGAGGGGGAUAACAUCCGGAAACGGGUGCUAAUACCGCAUAGUUUUCUUGAUCGCAUGAUUGGGAAAGGAAAGACGGCCUUUGUGCUGUCGCUUAUGGAUGGACCCGCGGCGUAUUAGUUAGUUGGUGAGGUAACGGCUCACCAAGACGAUGAUACGUAGCCGACCUGAGAGGGUGAUCGGCCACAUUGGGACUGAGACACGGCCCAAACUCCUACGGGAGGCAGCAGUAGGGAAUCUUCCGCAAUGGACGAAAGUCUGACGGAGCAACGCCGCGUGAGUGAAGAAGGUUUUUUCGGAUCGUAAAACUCUGUUGUCAGAGAAGAACAAGUUGGAGAGUAACUGCUCCAGCCUUGACGGUAUCUGACCAGAAAGCCACGGCUAACUACGUGCCAGCCGCAGC